RNAcentral lists this ribosomal RNA (1265 nucleotides) under Kocuria sediminis. Its description in RNAcentral is "bacterial SSU rRNA". It matches the Rfam family "Bacterial small subunit ribosomal RNA", at positions 190 to 1478 of the family's 1533-position model. The record is from RNAcentral. Lineage: Bacteria; Bacillati; Actinomycetota; Actinomycetes; Micrococcales; Micrococcaceae.
CGGUGGGGGGUGGAAAAGGUUUUCCUGUUUGGGAGGGCUCCCGGCCUUUCAGCUUGUGGUGGGGUAAUGGCUCACCAAGGGGACGGCGGGUAGCCGCCUUGAGAGGGUGACCGGCCCACCUGGGAUUGAGACCCGGCCCAGAUUCCUACGGGAGGCAGCAGGGGGAAUAUUGCACAAUGGGCGGAAGCCUGAUGCAGCGACCCCGCCUGAGGGAUGACGGCCUUCGGGUUGUAAACCUCUUUCAGUAGGGAAGAAGCGAGAGUGACGGUACCUGCAGAAGAAGCGCCGGCUAACUACGUGCCAGCAGCCGCGGUAAUACGUAGGGCGCAAGCGUUGUCCGGAAUUAUUGGGCGUAAAGAGCUCGUAGGCGGUUUGUCGCGUCUGCUGUGAAAGCCCGGGGCUCAACCCCGGGUCUGCAGUGGGUACGGGCAGACUAGAGUGCAGUAGGGGAGACUGGAAUUCCUGGUGUAGCGGUGAAAUGCGCAGAUAUCAGGAGGAACACCGAUGGCGAAGGCAGGUCUCUGGGCUGUUACUGACGCUGAGGAGCGAAAGCAUGGGGAGCGAACAGGAUUAGAUACCCUGGUAGUCCAUGCCGUAAACGUUGGGCACUAGGUGUGGGGGACAUUCCACGUUUUCCGCGCCGUAGCUAACGCAUUAAGUGCCCCGCCUGGGGAGUACGGCCGCAAGGCUAAAACUCAAAGGAAUUGACGGGGGCCCGCACAAGCGGCGGAGCAUGCGGAUUAAUUCGAUGCAACGCGAAGAACCUUACCAAGGCUUGACAUUCACCGGACCGCCCCAGAGAUGGGGUUUCCCUUCGGGGCUGGUGGACAGGUGGUGCAUGGUUGUCGUCAGCUCGUGUCGUGAGAUGUUGGGUUAAGUCCCGCAACGAGCGCAACCCUCGUUCUAUGUUGCCAGCACGUGAUGGUGGGGACUCAUAGGAGACUGCCGGGGUCAACUCGGAGGAAGGUGGGGAUGACGUCAAAUCAUCAUGCCCCUUAUGUCUUGGGCUUCACGCAUGCUACAAUGGCCGGUACAAAGGGUUGCGAUACUGUGAGGUGGAGCUAAUCCCAAAAAGCCGGUCUCAGUUCGGAUUGAGGUCUGCAACUCGACCUCAUGAAGUCGGAGUCGCUAGUAAUCGCAGAUCAGCAACGCUGCGGUGAAUACGUUCCCGGGCCUUGUACACACCGCCCGUCAAGUCACGAAAGUUGGUAACACCCGAAGCCGGUGGCAUGUAGAUCCGCAUUCUGUGGGACAUCGACGAGCGC